GGAGGCUGAAGCAGCGAUGGGGCAGUGUGGUGGCAAGCAGCCAGGGCUCAUCCUGAUGUACGAUUUGCACUCACAUCCCUCUCCUCCAGCCCUCUCUCCCAACGCACACAUGCCUGGGCUGGGCAGGCCUGGGCAUCGGCGGCUUCGCUGUGCCAGGG
RNAcentral lists this long non-coding RNA (158 nucleotides) under Dasypus novemcinctus (nine-banded armadillo). Its description in RNAcentral is "lncRNA (ENSDNOG00000051908.1)". Lineage: Eukaryota; Metazoa; Chordata; Mammalia; Cingulata; Dasypodidae. The record is from RNAcentral.